AAGCGCCUAUGACCAGACUUGGGCCCGGUGAAUCAUCCAGCGUUCUCGCUGGUGCACUUUGCCGGGCACAGGCCAGCAUCAGUUUGGCCCGGGGGAGAAAGGCUUUGGGAACGUAGCUCCUCGGAGUGUUAUAGCCCUUUGCACAAUACCCUGGGCCGGACUGAGGACCGCGCAUCUGCAAGGAUGCUGGCGUAAUGGUCAUCAGCGA
This 208-nucleotide ribosomal RNA is filed under the name Leptobacillium leptobactrum var. leptobactrum. RNAcentral's name for it is "partial large subunit ribosomal RNA". Lineage: Eukaryota; Fungi; Ascomycota; Sordariomycetes; Hypocreales; Cordycipitaceae. The record is from RNAcentral.